GUGGCUUAGAGGUUAAGAGCACUGGCCUCUCUUCCAGAGGUCCUGAGUUCAAGUCUCAGC
This is a non-coding RNA of Mus musculus (house mouse), 60 nucleotides long. NCBI's taxonomy places the organism in Eukaryota, Metazoa, Chordata, Mammalia, Rodentia, Muridae. The record is from Rfam.